This 517-nucleotide ribosomal RNA is filed under the name uncultured bacterium. RNAcentral's name for it is "partial 16S ribosomal RNA". It matches the Rfam family "Bacterial small subunit ribosomal RNA", at positions 29 to 523 of the family's 1533-position model. The record is from RNAcentral.
AACUAACGCUGGCGGCGUGCCUAAUACAUGCAAGUCGAACGCGAAAGUCCUUCGGGAUGAGUAGAGUGGCGCACGGGUGAGAAACACGUGGGUAAUCUGCCCAGAAGUGGGGAAUAACUCCUCGAAAGAGGAGCUAAUACCGCAUAAGACCACGACAACUAAGGUUGUUGGGGUUAAAGGUGACCUCUGUUUACAAGUUAUCGUUUCUGGAUGAGCCUGCGCAACAUUAGCCAGUUGGUGGGGUAAUGGCCUACCAAGGCUACGAUGUUUAGCGGGUCUGAGAGGAUGAUCAGCCACACUGGAACUGAGACACGGUCCAGACUCCUACGGGAGGCAGCAGUGGGGAAUAUUGCUCAAUGGGGGAAACCCCGAAGCAGCAACGCCGCGUGAGUGAUGAAGGCCUUCGGGUCGUAAAGCUCUGUUGUACGGGGAGAACGUGGGUAUGGCUAACAUCCAUAUCCAGUGACGGUACCGUAUAAGAAAGGGACGGCUAACUUCGUGCCAGCAGCCGCCGUAA